AGACCCGAAACCCGGUGAUCUAGCCAUGGGCAGGUUGAAGGUUGGGUAACACUAACUGGAGGACCGAACCGACUAAUGUUGAAAAAUUAGCGGAUGACCUGUGGCUGGGGGUGAAAGGCCAAUCAAACCGGGAGAUAGCUGGUUCUCCCCGAAAGCUAUUUAGGUAGCGCCUCGUGAAUUCAUCUCCGGGGGUAGAGCACUGUUUCGGCUAGGGGGCCAUCCCGGCUUACCAACCCGAUGCAAACUGCGAAUACCGGAGAAUGUUAUCACGGGAGACACACGGCGGGUGCUAACGUCCGUCGUGAAGAGGGAAACAACCCAGACCGCCAGCUAAGGUCCCAAAGUCAUGGUUAAGUGGGAAACGAUGUGGGAAGGCCCAGACAGCCAGGAUGUUGGCUUAGAAGCAGCCAUCAUUUAAAGAAAGCGUAAUAGCUCACUGGUCGAGUCGGCCUGCGCGGAAGAUGUAACGGGGCUAAACCAUGCACCGAAGCUGCGGCAGCGACACUCAGGUGUUGUUGGGUAGGGGAGCGUUCUGUAAGCCUGUGAAGGUGGCCUGUGAGGGUUGCUGGAGGUAUCAGAAGUGCGAAUGCUGACAUAAGUAACGAUAAAGCGGGUGAAAAGCCCGCUCGCCGGAAGACCAAGGGUUCCUGUCCAACGUUAAUCGGGGCAGGGUGAGUCGACCCCUAAGGCGAGGCCGAAAGGCGUAGUCGAUGGGAAACGGGUUAAUAUUCCCGUACUUGGUGUUACUGCGAAGGGGGGACGGAGAAGGCUAUGUUGGCCGGGCGACGGUUGUCCCGGUUUAAGCGU
Molecule: ribosomal RNA, 807 nt
Filed under: Salmonella enterica subsp. enterica serovar Virchow
Lineage: Bacteria; Pseudomonadati; Pseudomonadota; Gammaproteobacteria; Enterobacterales; Enterobacteriaceae
Description: partial 23S ribosomal RNA
Rfam family: Bacterial large subunit ribosomal RNA
Source: RNAcentral